AUUGAACGCUGGCGGCAGGCCUAACACAUGCAAGUCGAGCGGAGCGGCGGACGGGUGCGUAAUGCCUAGGAAUCUGCCUGGUAGUGGGGGAUAACGUCCGGAAACGGGCGAUAAUACCGCAUACUAUCAGAUGAGCCUCGGUGGGAUUAGAUAGGUGGGGGGGAAAAUGCCUACCAAGGCGACGAUCCGGAACUGGUCUGAGAGGAUGAUCAGUCACAUUGGAACUGAGACACGGUCCAGACUCCGACGGGAGGCAGCAGUGGGGAAUAUGGGACAAUGGGAGAAAGCCUGAUCCAGCCAUGCCUCGUGUGUGAAGAAGGUCUUCGGAUUGUAAAGCACUUUAAGUUGGGAGGCGUUACCAACAGAAUAAGCACCGGCUAACUCCGUGCCAGCAGCCGCGGUAAUAC
This 407-nucleotide ribosomal RNA is filed under the name uncultured bacterium. RNAcentral's name for it is "partial 16S ribosomal RNA". It matches the Rfam family "Bacterial small subunit ribosomal RNA", at positions 30 to 526 of the family's 1533-position model. The record is from RNAcentral.